This 179-nucleotide ribosomal RNA is filed under the name uncultured Dinobryon. Its description in RNAcentral is "partial Eukaryotic small subunit ribosomal RNA". It matches the Rfam family "Eukaryotic small subunit ribosomal RNA", at positions 458 to 642 of the family's 1831-position model. The record is from RNAcentral. Lineage: Eukaryota; Chrysophyceae; Chromulinales.
AGGGAGGUAGUGACAAGAAAUAACGACACUGAGCUUGCUCAGUGAUUGGAAUGAGCACAAUGUAAAAGCGUUGUCGAGGACCCACUGGAGGGCAAGUCUGGUGCCAGCAGCCGCGGUAAUUCCAGCUCCAAUAGCGUAUACUAAAGUUGUUGCAGUUAAAAAGCUCGUAGAAUGUCUGG